Small nuclear RNA from Marmota marmota marmota (Alpine marmot), 107 nucleotides. NCBI's taxonomy places the organism in Eukaryota, Metazoa, Chordata, Mammalia, Rodentia, Sciuridae. The record is from Ensembl.
GUGCUCACUUCCACAGCACAUAUACUAAAAUUGGAAUGAUACAGAGUAGAUUAGUAUGGCCCCUGUACAAGGACGACCUGCAAAUUCGUGAUAUGUUCCAUAUUUUU